CGCAAGCCUGACGGAGCAACGCCGCGUGAGGGAUGAAGGCCUCUGGGCUGUAAACCUCUUUUCUCAAGGAAGAAGAUCUGACGGUACUUGAGGAAUAAGCCACGGCUAAUUCCGUGCCAGCAGCCGCGGUAAUACGGGAGUGGCAAGCGUUAUCCGGAAUUAUUGGGCGUAAAGCGUCCGCAGGCGGCCUUGAAAGUCUGUUGUUAAAACGUGGAGCUCAACUCCAUUUCGGCAAUGGAAACUACAAGGCUAGAGUGUGGUAGGGGCAGAGGGAAUUCCCGGUGUAGCGGUGAAAUGCGUAGAUAUCGGGAAGAACACCAGUGGCGAAGGCGCU
Molecule: ribosomal RNA, 334 nt
Filed under: uncultured bacterium
Lineage: Bacteria
Description: bacterial SSU rRNA
Rfam family: Bacterial small subunit ribosomal RNA
Source: RNAcentral